Bombina bombina (fire-bellied toad) is the source of this 250-nucleotide long non-coding RNA. RefSeq lists it as uncharacterized. Lineage: Eukaryota; Metazoa; Chordata; Amphibia; Anura; Bombinatoridae. The transcript has 3 exons. The record is from RefSeq and is a predicted model, not a curated record.
GGACUACCAGCUGCCUCCUAUCUUACUGCGGUCUGUGAGUUAAGUACCUUCCAUGCUGCAUGGGAGCUAUAAAAAAGCAGUGUGAUGAUAUAAAAAGUCCAGAAAAAAGUGGUUCUGUUCGAGCAUCGACCUCUGCAUGUGUCCAUACCCCAUCUACCUCUUCAUCACAGCUACCACGUCCUUUAACAUCACAGCAUUUGAAUAUAAGACAAGAACCACAACAUGGGCAAUAUAUACGUUCAACAACCAA